UCUCAGUUCGGAUUGCAGGCUGCAACUCGCCUGUAUGAAGUCGGAAUUGCUAGUAAUCGCGGAUCAGCAUGCCGCGGUGAAUACGUUCCCGGGCCUUGUACACACCGCCCGUCACACCAUGAGAGCCGGGAACACCCGAAGUCCGUAGUCUAACCGUAAGGAGGACGCGGCCGAAGGUGGGUUUGGUAAUUGGGGGUGAAGUCGUAACAAGGUAGC
Molecule: ribosomal RNA, 216 nt
Filed under: uncultured bacterium
Lineage: Bacteria
Description: partial 16S ribosomal RNA
Rfam family: Bacterial small subunit ribosomal RNA
Source: RNAcentral